RNAcentral lists this ribosomal RNA (1138 nucleotides) under Streptomyces umbrinus. Its description in RNAcentral is "bacterial SSU rRNA". It matches the Rfam family "Bacterial small subunit ribosomal RNA", at positions 107 to 1264 of the family's 1533-position model. The record is from RNAcentral. Lineage: Bacteria; Bacillati; Actinomycetota; Actinomycetes; Kitasatosporales; Streptomycetaceae.
UGAGUAACACGUGGGCAAUCUGCCCUUCACUCUGGGACAAGCCCUGGAAACGGGGUCUAAUACCGGAUAACACUCCUGCAGGCAUGGCUGGGGGUUGAAAGCUCCGGCGGUGAAGGAUGAGCCCGCGGCCUAUCAGCUUGUUGGUGAGGUAGAAGCUCACCAAGGCGACGACGGGUAGCCGGCCUGAGAGGGCGACCGGCCACACUGGGACUGAGACACGGCCCAGACUCCUACGGGAGGCAGCAGUGGGGAAUAUUGCACAAUGGGCGAAAGCCUGAUGCAGCGACGCCGCGUGAGGGAUGACGGCCUUCGGGUUGUAAACCUCUUUCAGCAGGGAAGAAGCGAAAGUGACGGUACCUGCAGAAGAAGCGCCGGCUAACUACGUGCCAGCAGCCGCGGUAAUACGUAGGGCGCAAGCGUUGUCCGGAAUUAUUGGGCGUAAAGAGCUCGUAGGCGGUCUGUCACGUCGGAUGUGAAAGCCCGGGGCUUAACCCCGGGUCUGCAUUCGAUACGGGCAGACUAGAGUGUGGUAGGGGAGAUCGGAAUUCCUGGUGUAGCGGUGAAAUGCGCAGAUAUCAGGAGGAACACCGGUGGCGAAGGCGGAUCUCUGGGCCAUUACUGACGCUGAGGAGCGAAAGCGUGGGGAGCGAACAGGAUUAGAUACCCUGGUAGUCCACGCCGUAAACGGUGGGAACUAGGUGUUGGCGACAUUCCACGUCGUCCGUGCCGCAGCUAACGCAUUAAGUUCCCCGCCUGGGGAGUACGGCCGCAACGCUAAAACUCAAAGGACUUGACGGGGGCCCGCACAAGCAGCAGAUCAUGUGGCUUAAUUCGACGCAACGCGAAGAACCUUACCAAGGCUUGACAUCGCACGGAAAGCAUCAGACAUGUGCCCUCCUUAGUUGUCCGGUGACAGGUGUGCAUGGCUGUCAGUCAGCUCGAGUCGUGAGAUGUUGGGGUCAGUGCCUGCACGAGCGCAUCCUUGAUCAUGUGCUGCUAGCAUGCCUUCGGGUGCAUGCGACUCACAGAUACUGUCAGGAUCACCUCGGAGUAGUGGGAUCGACGUCAGUCAUCAUGCACGUUAGUCAUGACUGCAACUGCUACAUGCAGUCAUGACUCGAGUCCAGCGAACGAUCUC